Molecule: ribosomal RNA, 465 nt
Filed under: uncultured bacterium
Lineage: Bacteria
Description: partial 16S ribosomal RNA
Rfam family: Bacterial small subunit ribosomal RNA
Source: RNAcentral
GACGAACGCUGGCGGCGUGCUUAACACAUGCAAGUCGAACGGAAAGGCCCCCUUGUGGGGUACUCGAGUGGCGAACGGGUGAGUAACACGUGAGUAACCUACCCUUGACUUUGGGACAACUUCAGGAAACUGGGGCUAAUACCGGAUAGGAGCUCCUGCUGCAUGGUGGGGGUUGGAAAGUUUCGGCGGUUGGGGAUGGACUCGCGGCUUAUCAGCUUGUUGGUGGGGUAGUGGCUCACCAAGGCUUUGACGGGUAGCCGGCCUGAGAGGGUGACCGGCCACAUUGGGACUGAGAUACGGCCCAGACUCCUACGGGAGGCAGCAGUGGGGAAUAUUGCACAAUGGGCGGAAGCCUGAUGCAGCAACGCCGCGUGCGGGAUGACGGCCUUCGGGUUGUAAACCGCUUUCGCCUGUGACGAAGCGUGAGUGACGGUAAUGGGUAAAGAAGCACCGGCUAACUACGUG